GACGAACGCUGGCGGCGUGCCUAAUACAUGCAAGUCGAGCGAACAGAAGGGAGCUUGCUCCCGGAUGUUAGCGGCGGACGGGUGAGUAACACGUGGGUAACCUGCCUGUAAGACUGGGAUAACUCCGGGAAACCGGAGCUAAUACCGGAUAGUUCCUUGAACCGCAUGGUUCAAGGAUGAAAGACGGUUUCGGCUGUCACUUACAGAUGGACCCGCGGCGCAUUAGCUAGUUGGUGGGGUAAUGGCUCACCAAGGCGACGAUGCGUAGCCGACCUGAGAGGGUGAUCGGCCACACUGGGACUGAGACACGGCCCAGACUCCUACGGGAGGCAGCAGUAGGGAAUCUUCCGCAAUGGACGAAAGUCUGACGGAGCAACGCCGCGUGAGUGAUGAAGGUUUUCGGAUCGUAAAGCUCUGUUGUUAGGGAAG
RNAcentral lists this ribosomal RNA (429 nucleotides) under Bacillus sp. R-30930. RNAcentral describes it as "bacterial SSU rRNA". It matches the Rfam family "Bacterial small subunit ribosomal RNA", at positions 28 to 447 of the family's 1533-position model. Lineage: Bacteria; Bacillati; Bacillota; Bacilli; Caryophanales; Bacillaceae. The record is from RNAcentral.